Molecule: long non-coding RNA, 39089 nt
Filed under: Capsicum annuum
Lineage: Eukaryota; Viridiplantae; Streptophyta; Magnoliopsida; Solanales; Solanaceae
Description: long non-coding RNA (CANN_LNC013022)
Source: RNAcentral
AAAAAAAACUGUUUAUCUCAAAAAGAAAAGAAUAAAAAUGCUCAAACUUCCUUACAACUCCAGUUGUUGGUUCCUUAAUACUUGUCCCUCACAACCAACCAAACUUUCUUUGAUAACCGUCGUGUUUGGGCCAGCUUGCACCUUGACUAGUUACACCAGGUACUGCUACCUCCCACCAGCACAGAUACUGGGUAACUCUGUCGAUCAAGGCUUGGACAGAUGGUAAGAAAUCACCUAGUGUUUUUAUCUCUGUUGGAAAUUAAACCUGAGACCUCAUGGUUCUCAAUCUACUUCAUUAACCAUUAGGUCACACUCUUGGGUGCAAGUGUGCAACUAGCAAAAUUAUUAUUCUAUAAACUAGAAUGAGAAGUGUGGACCACAAUAUUAUAUCAAGUUUCCUCUCUCCAUAUCGCCAUAGAGUUACAAUAACAUUACAUCAAUCAGGAAGUAAAUAAAAUUAUUUAAAAUAGACCAAAUAUAAUCCUUCCGUGUAUGCUUAAACACAUUUUUUCAGAACAAUAGUGUUAAAUAUAAAAUAUUUUAGAACUAUAUUGGAAAUAAAAGGUCAAUGUAAAUCCCAAAUGAAGCCUACAUAGUAUAGUAAGAUCAAGGAAAUCUGCUCGCUAAACAAACAUUCAACAGAAAUCACAUAUACUUAGGAAAGAAAAAGUGGUUCUACGAAGCUUCAUAGAAAAAGAAUUGUGUACUUCUUUUUUCAUUGAUAAGCACAGGAAACUGGAUAAAACUACCCAUAAAAAUCUCGAUGAAACGAGACCUCACCUCCAUUUCUGUCAUCAGCUCUCAAGGUUUCUCCCAGGUAGAGAUUCUUGUUCUUCUAUUAUAAUAGUAUCUAAAAAUCAAUUAAAGAAUUGUAAGAAUGUUAUUAAUUGGUUGGAGUAAUAAAGCCAUAGGAAAUAUGACAACAUUAGCAACCAUAAUUGGCUUACUGUUCAUCAAAAGAUGCUGAAAGUAGCAAUACCUACUAGCAUUUAGCCACAUGUAAAAUAUGUAUGAUGAUAGAUAAAUAGGGUCAAAAUGAAGUUAUCGGUAGAGGUGUAUCAAGUUCUGCCGAUGAACAGUCAGGUAAAAUUUGGUAGCGGUGAACGGCAGCCCAUAUGAUUACUUUGACAAAGAGGACUGAAACAAAGGGGCCUUUUAUCUCCAGUGCUAAUGGAAGCAGAAUGAUGUACAAAGCACUAGAUGUGGAUACUUGAGGGAUUUCUUGGCAGUGAUGGGGGCCAACAUAUCCACCACUUGUUCAUAGACAAGACAUUAAGUGUUUCUGAUGCAGACAUUAAACUAUUCAUAUAAGUAACCUAUGUGAAUAUAAUCCAAAAGAAAGAAUUACGGAAAGCCAAAUCGGCAUGCUCUUUUUUCUGUCUGGAGAACACAAAGUGGUAAAAAGAUUGGAUCUGAAUGAAAAUGAUAUUUUUACAGAGCUUCUUUUCUUGUGUACCGCGGUUUUACACCUUUUUUGUUCACUGGAAUCUUAAUUUUCUUACUAAAAACUAUCAUAGAAUUCAAAUGUUGACUCUCUCAGUCAACACACACCCAUUAACUUAAGCAUGUUACUUGUUGACAAUAUUUAUGCAAAACGGGUACAAUAAAACACAUUGAAUUCUCACCAGAACAACCAAGGGAGCUGCUAAUUCUCCAGUCUUCUGCACAAUUGUCUCAGAAUUCACAUUAUGAUUACUUAUUGGCAUCCAGGGUUGUACCCCUGAUGGAAACCUAUGAUCAUUUAUCUGUGUCUGAUACUGGAAGCUAGAAGAAUCUGCAUUUACCUGCUGUUAAAGACGAUAACAAAAUGUAUUUCAUCAAUAUAUGAAUGGAACAUCGGAAACCAAUUGACAAUAACCACAAAAGAUCUUCCCAAGGCCUUACAUUAUAUGAAGAAGAAAGAGGUAAAUUUGGGUCACCAGAACCAGGCAUGUGGUUAUUUAACAUCGGAAGAUUUCCCUGAAAAUCAUGGGGAGUAGGUGGUCCCUGAGGCAUACUAUGCAUUCCUACUACAGGUCUACCAGUAACCUGUUGCAUAGGUUGAGGAAAUUGGAUUUGAGAAGGUUGAGACAUCGCAACAUUUGCAUGUCCAAGUGGAAAAAAUUGUUGAGAUGACUCGGAACCAUAAGGUUGUGCCUGCUGGGAUGGAAGCAUAGGCUGGAAUUGCUAAAGAUGUGGGGAAAAUAGUUAUCAUAAUGUCUCUGCAUUCAAAAGUCAUUUAUUCCUCCCCCAAGCCUCCACAACUUUACCUGCAGUGACAUGGAUGGAAUUGCACCAGGAGCAGGACCAGCCAGAGGAGGUAUAAGAGGCUUCUCAACCAAUAUCCAUGCAAGGAAGAACAGAUGAAAUCAGAAUAUAGCUACUUUUCAAUCAUAUUUAGAAAGCUUGAAUCCAUGCGCAACUCCCUAAAUUAAUUUGAAGGACAAGGCAGAAUUUUGAAGCCAAACCACAUAGUAACAUGAAACCCUUUUCUUCAUCUAAUAAAUAGAAAGCUUGAAAUGAGAAUAAAGAGAGAUAACAAAUAGAUGACCUAUCACAGCGUUAGACGAGAAUGGACAAAAUGAUAAGCAUCUUUACCUUAUGGCUUGGGUUCAACAGCUACUGAUGGCCUAAGUAUCUUUUCUUCGGGUGUAAAGAAGCACGUCUGUUAAUGCAAAGCUAUGAUCAUGGAACUGAAACGUGAGGUAUGAGUAGGUAUUAGGAUAACCGAAAAAUACUUAGACCGGAAUAGGUUGAGCCUCACUCUUCCCUUCUAAUGUUCUAUGUCAUACUGACAUCACUACUAGAAUCUGAAAGACUGACUUGGUUAUUCUCUCUGUCAUCUCCCCCUUAGCUUCAAGCCAUCAAAUUAAGUUUGGGAGAUCCCUUACUAGACUCUAAACUAAAGUACACUCACUGCACUCUGGGUCUGGAAAACUAUUAUACACACAUAUCAUGGAACUUAACCUGAAUGAAUACACCUGAAAGUGGAAAACCCACUGUUAAUACUACCUUCUGAGAUACACUUUAUCAUUCUAUAGACCCAGUAGUCAUCAUAUAAUACUUGCAUACUUACUAACUUCAGGUCUUCAUGGGUAUCCCCAUAGUCAGAGUGCACAGCCUCUAGUGCUUUAACUCUUAUUUCUAUUAGUUCAACCUUUAAAAACUCAAACUUAGAAUCUAGCACUCAACAUGGAUAUCACCAAGCCUUUAAUGAAUCAUACCACUUCCGACACAGACUACCAAUAUCGCGACUCCAAACUUGCAUCUCUCUACUAUGAGAAUCAAGAUCAUAUAAAAAGGCUUAACACUAUCAAUCAAAUCUCCUUAACUUGGAUAUUUAGAAAACCAUAUACCAUCUAACUAGUCUUUCUCCACCUAGCAACUCAACGGUACCACUCGUCACACAAAACGUGUAAUAGUCUUAGAAAAUACCGCAACCCCUUACGCAUGAUUCUCACUUGGAUACCAUGAAAUAGACAUCAAGAAACACUAGUACACUAGAACUUCCAAACAACAAAUAAUUGAUCUUGACCUUACGGUCUUCCUUAUCAUAACUCAUUAGCACGUACUAUUUUAACACAUCAAGCCUACUAAUUUUUUCCCACAAAAUAUACAUCAUUACUCUCAUGCCACUAUUUUUAUCACCACAUUCUACAUUAAAUUUAAGCAUAUAGUCCUGUACCAAUCAUCUAUCACUAUUGAAAAAUGCAACAUAAUAUGCUAGUCCAUAAAAUUUGGGACAUACUAUACAAGCGCCUCAAAAAUCACUACUUACCUUCUCACAAGUAAUACUAGUUUACAAUUACCGACGAAAAGAAGGUCAAGGGGUAAAGUUGCAUAAUAGACAUGAUCAACCUUAAUCUUAUAUUAUAACCCCAUACAAUCUUUUCUACUUAUACGGAUUUCUCACCUCAUACUUACUUACCCAAACAUACAUUUAGACUACCUUCAAAUUCCACAAACAACCAUGAGUCUAUACUUACAACUUACUGGCUAAUAUAGCCAUUUUCACACUUUAAGCAAUCGAGAAAUCACCCUAACUAACAACUCCUUCUCUACCUUCUACUAAACUAACACACAAGGACAAAUCACCUCUUUCAAUCUCAUGCAAACUGAUUCAGCUAUAUAUAUAUAUAUAUAUAUAUAUAUUAAACUAACACAAGAACAACAAGUUGGACAACAAGUUGCUAGUGAAUCGAAAUAGGCCUCACACGGCUUCACUAGACUUUACUUUUGUAUUUUUAACAAGAAAAUGAGAUGAAUGACAAGUCAACUAUGCUAGUGAAUCGAAAGAUCCCCACAGGGCAAGAUUAAUACGCAAUAUCCAAUGAACUAAGAAUACACAUCUUACUCUGUAUAAAUAAAAUAGAGUCAAACACUUCCUCCACGGACUACCAUACCAUCCACACAUGCUACUAGUUACCAUAUUAGUCUAUCACCAUAAGGGGGUAAAUCAUUCUCGAACAUCGGUUAUUCAACUAAAAUAUUCAUUUACACAAAAGUCACCCUCGCUCUGACUUCUAACUUUGUGACUUCACAUCACCAACUUCUUGGCCAAAUUUCACUACCAAUAGGUCCUGAUAACAACACUUUAACGCAUACUACUAUUCAGGUGGAAAUAUAGUUCCAACAUUCUACUACACAUCAUCCCCCCUUAAUCAAGACAUUUGUAAUAUAAAUUUGAAGGGGACUAAAUGCAAUUAAUACCUCAAGCCGAAAAGCACGAUUCCACCAGGAUCAAUGUUUACAUCGGAAUCAAUACACAUUAAAGUACUAACGAACUCUUCUCAAGUCCUUGCACAGAUUUUAACUCUUAUAUGGUUCAAUUAGAAAGGAACAUACCAUUUAGAUUCUAAACUUCUGCACUUGAAUCACCUCAAUAAUGAGACAUAUCUGAGGACAUUAGAGUAAGGAAAGAAUUUGGGAUGACUUUUUUUUUACUUUCGUAUGGGCGACACCAUAGCACGAAUUAGAGUAUGAAAGAGGAACAUUCUGACUCUAUUGCAUGAAGUAGAACAUGAAGAAAGAGAGACAUUCCUAAACGCCUAGUAUCCUCCUACUUAUGAGUAUGGCGUGCUACACACCCAUAAAUAAGACUCUACCCGAUGCAAUUUCACAGACACCCUAGGCCCAUGAACUGUGCUUUGAUACCAAGUUUGUCAUGACCUGAACUGGGGCUCUGACCGUGACGAGCAUUCCGAACCAUGAAGGCCCGAAACACCCCUAUCUAUCUGGCAAUCAUGCACAUAAUUCAUAUGAUAAUAAGAUAUGUAGAAGAUACACAAUAUUAUGAAAAACAUGGUCAUAAAUCAAAUGAAAUCAACAAAGGGGAAAUGAUGUCCCACAACAUAUAUCGACAUCUGAACAAUCGUCUAUGAAAUCUCUAAAACAUGACUGAAAUAAAUUACUGUCUGAAAACUGGGACAAGGCCCCCAGUAGACCCAAAACUACUAAAUGAUAAAUGAAUUGACAGACAUCAGGCCUUCCAAAAUAUAGAAGUCUCACCACUUGAUUCUGCAAAUCUGUCGGAAGAGAUCUACUGGUUAUUUGGACCCCUAAACUAUGCCUCCAAACCUGGGAGGGAAAGUGUUCAAUACAAAAGUACUAGUACGCAGAGAAACCAAAAACAAAAUAUAAUGUUUUUUCCAAAUAUAGGUGAGAGCUAUUAUAAAGCAGUUCCAUAUCAAAUCAUUUGAAAACACAUGGGCAUAAGUUAGGGUGUGCGUCGCACACCUUAUGGCAUAAGUUAGGGUGUGCGUCGCACACCUUAUGCUGUACGACAUACUCCACUUUGUAAAGCCAUAACUUCUUCCUCGGGUGUCGGAAUUUCGCAAAAUUGGUAUCGUUGGAAAGAUAAUUUGAAUACCUUUCAUUUGAUAUAUAGUAGGCACUGUAAUUCAAUAUAUACAAAGAUUAAUGGUCGAUUGAAGUUAACCUAAGUUUCAACGUUCACUAAAAUUCGAACGAUAGGAAAACUUUCAACUUGUCCUUGAGCUUGGGGACCUUUAUGAUCUCAAUUCAUGCUAAAAUAGGUUUCUACACUACAUAAUUUAUUAACACACUAAACUUGCAUUGGAUUUAUGGCUUUUGGAACCUUUACGUGAAGAAAAUGACGAUUUUCGUUCUCGUCCGAAAUGCGGGGUGUUACAAAAUUUUGUUAGAAAAUGGAAAAUACAACAAUAUGGAGGACAUUUUAGCUGCACCGUACUCCCAAUAUACACCGUCCUCCUAAUACACUAAACUGAACAUUAAAAGUACUAAUGCAUUUCUUACCUGCACCGUACUCCAAAUACACUAAACUGAACAUUAAAAGUACUAAUGCAUUUCUUACCUGUUGGUGUGUAGCAUUCAAAAGUUUUAUUGUCUUUUGUCGGAAGAUAGCCACAACGACGGUUUCAAGAAUGAAGAUUAAACUUAAAAGAUGCCAUGCUCGCUCUGGAGUUCCUGCUACAUGAUACAACAUGACUCUACAAUGUUGAAGCCACUUUCCUAAUCCUUGGAGUCUAAGUUCUUACGAGAAUGAAAUAUGAUUAGGUAACACAUCCUCAACAUUAUUUGAAUUAGUGACAGGAGGGUUACUGUCGCGAUGUUCUCGAUCAGCGUCCAAACUACUUCUCUGCAACAAGGCUAGAAUCUUUGGGUCUAAUCCAUUCUCCUUCAGCAUCACUGCAAAAUUAGGAUCAAGCCCUUUAUCUUGCAAUAAAUUAGCUAAUUCACGAUCAGUGUGUCUUCCUUUCUGCUUUAAUAUAGAUGUAAUCCUGGGAUCACUCAACUUUUCUUGAAAUGCUAGUGCCAAAUUCAAGUCGAGUAUCUGUUGGUUUGCAGAAGUGGAUUUACUAGAAUCACCACCUUGGCUUUCAAGUCCACUGCUAGAACAAACAACCAAUGAAAUAUUAUGCUCUAAAUUUCUAUCAACAUAUGAGGAUCCUACUUCAGGCUCUUGAACAACUGAACGACAGGAACUACUACGUAGAGCUAGACUUGGUCUUCCACUGUCUAUGCUCUUAUCACUAUUAAUCCCCUCAAUGUUAUUCCAGGUACUGCCAUCACCAGUGCAAGGCAUAGUUGCAUUACCAAGAUGACCAGCAUCAGCACUUCUAAUGCGUUUGACACUUGAGCCACACCCCUCAGAAGAGCUUACGGAGCUAUUUUGGUCUUUUCUGCGGAAACCUUCUCUACGGCGGAUAACUAUACUCUGCAAGGCAUCUUGUUAGCUGCUAAUGGGUCUGUAACUGAUAAAUGCUGUGAAACAGCAGCACCCAACAGCACAGAUGCUACAACUACAUAACUGAUACAACAAAAUUGUUGCAAUAAAAGAUUAGAAUAUUUUUUUUUGAUAACAAAAGAUUAGAAGUUUCUAUUCAACAAAUAAUAUUAAAAGGGAUGCAUAUGCCACAAGUAUAAGAAGAUUUGAUUAUGGAAGAAAAUGAAUUAGCAUAGGUUAACAACAAACCAGUAAUGAACUCCAAAACAGACCAGGAACACCCGAGAUGUUCCGACAACAAUAAGUAUGAUGACUCAGCUUUUCAAAAGCUUAAAACCAUACAAGAAAGCUUCCAAGUUCCAAUCUAAUUGAAUGAAAAGAUAGUGAAUUCAUUACUUACCACAAAGAAAUAAGAAAUUAUUUCACAAUACGAGUCAGAAAAGGAGACAGAUAUAUGUAGGAAAUUAACUACCAAGGAUUAUCAUGGCAGCUGAUGUUGUAGCCCCAAGCCAGUUUGAUUCCUUUGUUGUCAGACCAUACAGGAUCGAAUACACAAGAAGUACUACAAGUGAACCAAUAUAUAGAAGUCCAAGAUUGAGAGCCCUGCAGAGCCCAAGUUCAAAGUGAAGAAGAGUAAAUUAUAGACUUCAGAGAAAAUGUUGAAAAGAUAGUGCAGAAAAUAUGAUGAGCAGUAUAAAUGAGAACCCACUGAACACAUAAUAUAACAAGGUGACUUUAUAAUCUAAAGCAGAAUUUAAAUUAAUUUGCUUAGCAGUGAGAUUUUAAGAUCUACUGUUUUUACUGGACUACUGGAGAGUGUGUUUUGUUCUCUCAGAGUUAGUAUUCCUUUUAUUCAAAUAGAUUUGAGUUACACCCAUUGUUUAGCGUUCUUUGGCUCUUAAUUUUAAAAGUCUGUUAGUUGAGAACAUUUUGGCCUAUCUUCAUAUCUUCCAUAUCUUAUAAAAAAAAUUAUGUUCCAUCCAGAAAAAGAGUUGUCAUAUUAGUCAUCCCUGUCCUUUAUAUAGAGCUCUUCCCAUCUUUGUUCAAAUCCCUAGCCAACAAGAAUGAUGUCCCCUUCAAAAAGUAUUACAUCUUACUCUGUCUUUCUAUUGCCUAUAAACAGUCUAGCACAUCAAUGAUGUCUUCUGCUAGAGCUAAUCAUCAUGUUUACACCAAAAAUAAAGAAGUGCUAAACUAUUCAAGUUGAUCUUCUGGACAUCCUCAAAACAACCCUUGUUUCUUUCUGUCCAAACUGUCCACCAUAUACAUGUUGAACAAUUUUCCAUCUCUCCUCCUUUAUUACAUUUACAUCCCCAUUCAUGCUGCUUAGUACUUUUUUAAUGCCACUAGGUUCUACCCACCUGAUCCCCUUCAGGUUGAAAACAUUCUCUACAGUUGCUCUGUCCGUUUCCAAUGUAAGAAAGAUGGUUGAUUAUGUAAAGAAAGGAUCUUGGGCCUAACUCAACCCUAAAAGCUAGCACAUGAGGGGAGGAUUGCUCAAGUCCAUAUAAUAAGACCGACAGUUAACUCCCCAACAAUGUAGGACUUUCACCUACUCUAACACCACCUUCACGCCCAGGCCCAAUAAGAGCGUGGUACGAGAGCUCAAACGUGGAUGGACCUGUUGUUUGAGAAGGAAUAUUAACUGCUGUUUGUAUGCAAGAGAGAAUAGAUAAGAUGUUUUUACUGAAUACAUUGGGUCUAUCAGCACAUACAGGUUCAUGCAUUAUGCCAUUAGGUUUUGCAGCAGUUCCAAUAUUUUCAGCAGCACCACAAGUUGAAUUUUGAUGCACUGCAGUAAGGAAAGAAAACUUAAACAUUAACUUGAGACAACAACACAAGCUUCUCAAAUGCAGGUUCUAGCAAGAACAAAGAUAACAAGCAAAUAGAAGGCAAUGAAGAUAAGGAUAAGUCUAGAUGAGCUUGGGGACAGGCUCCAAACUGAACACAGUGCUCGUUAUUCUUGUUGUAGAUAAGAUCAGACAACUUAUUAUUUUGACGUUAAGAGUUUCUUGUAGAGGAUGCUGAAUCCAUUUUGCAACUUUGGAGGCCUUGUAAAGCACAGAGAGGCUCAUUUUUGUAAAGAAAAUACUGCCCACAUAGUAUCUAUGCUAUCAUUUUUAAAAAAAUAUGGUGCUUGCUGGUUUUACCAAUAUCUUGUAUGCUUGUACCUUCCAAUGCAACCUCCCGGCGAAAAAACUAACCACCAAUAGGCAUCUUUUAGCAUAGAAGAUUCUAAGACUGUCUUACUAGGAAUUAGGUAAGUACAAGUUCUUGAAGGGAAAUUGUUUGCAUCAUUGAAGAUCAGAAAGCCAGGUAUAUAGGAGAUUAGACAUUUUAAAGAAAAAAUAACAGGUUUAAUAUCAGGAAAGACAUCAAAAACUCUUAUUUACAUAUAAAUGAUGGAUCCCAAAUAACUUCAGAAGUUACACACAAAAGGAAAAUGGUACAGAAACCAAUUCCACCUUCAUAAUAACUAUGUCUGCUUGAUGUAAGCAUAAACAUUAUCAAGAAAGACAUCAAAGACUCUCAUUGACAUAUAAAUAAUGGAACACAAAUAACUUCAGAAGUUACACGCAAAAGGAAAAUGGUACAGAAACCAAUUCCACCUUCAUAAUAAUUGUGUCUGCUUGAUAUAAGUAUAAACAUAAAGAACAUACUGACAUACCAAAAAAUUAUCAAAAUGUUCUACAAUGUAGUGCUAAUUUUUUUUGUUUUUUGAAAUUAAACGCAGUGUAUAGUUUAAAAAUGUGCAAACAACAUUUAAUGUGGCACGUGAAGCAUCAGGUACUGGAAGGAAAAUUUAAAACAUGGUGGAGGCAAAUGAAUCAAAUAUACUAAGACAAAGAAGGCAUUUGAUUGCAGAUCAAAUGGAAGAGUCUGCCAACCGACCAGAUUUAGGAGCAGCUCUGGUCCAUGCACCAUUUUGAGGUAAAUUUAUAUGGUUAAAAAUUUGGAUGUUACUUAAUAUAUGCACAAACUGAACAUGAACUGCCCGGUUAGACAAGUGCUUUUUGUAGCUACCCAGUGACAACCUUAGUGAAAGAAUACAUCAAUGAGAAGUUAACUCAGUAAGCUUAAUGAGCUUUCCCCUGUAAGGAAUGAAAGUGUGGAUGACCCGACAUCAAAUAUACGAUUGUUAUUAUACACACAAUCUCUAUACAAUAGCAACAACAUACCCGAUGUAUAUUCGGGCAGAAUAUAUGGAAACCAUACCUCUACCUCAAAGACGAGAAGAAAACGGUAGCACCAAUCCUCACUAAAUACUUCAUAAGAUAAAAAAACAGCCAAUACUUACAAAACCAAAUGAAGCAAAAGAAGUUCAUUUUCUUGAUCACCAGCAAGUAAAAGAAAUGUUUACAAUUGGAGAUUUAAAAAGGUUGCAAAAGAAAGAAGCAAACUUUCUAUUUAACAAGUGUCAAAGUGGGGAAAGAAUAAGAGUAAAACCAAUAAGUAUACGAGAAGUCUGAACACUAUAGUCAAUGAACAAAAUAUGAAUUGUAGUUUGGAAAUUUAGUAUCCAUCACUCCAACAGAGAAUCAGGACUUGCAAGAAGGUUGAAAGGUUUGCCUAUCGAGUUUUUCAAGAUUGUGAUUUGACCCUUUUUCAUAAGAAAGUCUUCAUCGAGGGUGUCUACCUUUCUUUUCAACAUGUUGAUCUCAUAAUUCAACAACAUGUUCAUCUCACUGUAGCUCUUAACUUCCUCCCACAUGAAAUCCCUCUCCUGAAAUACUUUUGGUAGUAUCGCCUUUACAACGCAAAGUUCCUUCAUGCAUUCUUGCAAAUCAUUGGUGAGCUAGUUGAUAUUUUCAUCCCUUUUUAGCACCUGUGAGAAUCAACCGUAAACCAUGAAAAACAAAAAAGACACAAAGAUCACCAAUAACAUUUCAUCAGAAAUUCAAAACAAACUCAUAGCCUAGAAGUUCAACCAAAUCAUGAAUCCUUUUUAACUAUUAAAAUUCAUAGUAGAUAACUCCUGAGCUUGUCCAAGAAUUAAGUAAGAUGAACGAGCAAAGUUACCAAAACCCCUUCGGGUAACUUUACCACAUCAGAGCAUAAUCAGAUCAAUGGAUUUGACGAUAUCACAAAGUUUAUCAUGUUCUUGGUUGGUUCAAGUGAUGACACAUUAAGGCGAUCAGAAAUUUCACAGAAGACUACCACAUGCCAGCAACUCAUGUAUACAAGUUCAUAAAGAAAUCUGUGAACUUUAGAUGGAACAAAGAUGAACCUAAAAUCAAAUAGAAGUAGAAAGCUAAUGCAGAGAGAGUAACAUGCGAACAGGCUAUCAUAUAUGAAGACAGGGUAUCCAAAGUUGAAAAAUAAAAACUAUUCAGUUGCAACGAGAUAUUAACAUUGCCUGCUUACCUGAAGUUUGAGAUAUUUCAACUUGGGUGUGGCAUAAGAAAGAGCAUCCAGUUUAUUUUGCACUUAACAUUGGAGAAUGUCGUUACCUCUAACUGUUAUGGCUAGAUUAGCCUGAAGUUGCUUUAUGUCCAUCUCCUCGGAAUAGAGCUUCUCCCUUAGCACAGUUGUCAGCAAAGUCUCUGAUUUAAGCCCUUUAACCUUUUCCUGGUAGUUUUCUCAGACAUAAUCUCUAUUGUCUUGAGAUACUCGAUAUUCCACUUGUAACUAAGUGAGAUGCUGCCGUAGAUUUUAAUUCUCCUCUGACACUUGCUCUAUUCUCUUAGACAAAUCUUCAAGGUGUUUCUCCGAAAAUGAUAUCUUGAUUCUAUUAUCUACUUCCUUCUCAUUAAAUGAAGAGACUUCCCUUUGUAGAGACACAUUCUGCUCUGCAAGCUCCCUCGCCCUUUCACGGGUCUAUGUUGUUCAAUUUGGUAUUUCUCAAGUUUUAGAGACCAAUUGUUGGAUCUUCUAUCCAACUUCUUUUCCAAUACUGAUUUUAACUCAUUCUUUUCUGUCUCCAAUCUUCGUGUCCGUGAAUCUAGUUCUGCCUGUAAUAUGCUGGCUUCUUGCUUAGCAGAAGCCCUUUCAGCAACUUGAUUCCAUAGCAUGCUUGAAACUUCAGAAGCCAUUUGUACCUUCUCCUUUGUCAAUCUUGUAAUAGUCCGAAUCAAUAAUGGAACGCUAAGGUCUCUGCCAUGAAGAAACAUUUGUUAUUACUUUGGACAAGCAAAUGCAAAUUAAAACAUCAGUUUAAGUGUGAAAAAGGAAGCUAAAGCAAAAUGAUAUGCAUACCGGCUUGAAUCACGACUAGAUUUCUUAGGAUGAACUUUCUUACUGUGACCAUGGGGAGAUUUGCUCAGAUCCAUGAAAUUCUUUUUUCCUAACCCACUGUCAUAGAAGGAUUCGGAUGAUAAUGAAACACUCCUCCAAGAAGAAACUUCCUUGGACUUUAAUGGUGGUGAAGGGGUCUUGUUUUCAUCAUUAGUUGAUGAUCGAAAAAAGAAGAAGUUGUUCUUCAUCAUCUCUAUGUAUGGAGACUGUACAUGAAUCAAACUAGUGUCCAUGAGAUUUCAAAGGGCAAAGCAAAACACUCAUAAAUAGCCACUCACAAAUCAUUAUCCAUUCAUGAAAAUACUGCAAGCUAACUAAAUACUUAUGAGACAAAGCAAAACAUCUCUCUUUCUACAUGCUUCUUCUUCAACAACAACAUACGUAACCCCUACCUUGGCAAGUAGAAAAUUUGUUUCUCAUAAAUCCUCGGCAAGGAAAGCAAAANNNNNNNNNNNNNNNNNNNNNNNNNNNNNNNNNNNNNNNNNNNNNNNNNNNNNNNNNNNNNAUACAACAAGUAGAAAAGAAAAAUAUAUACUAAUACUACUACCAGAAGAGAUAUGACGUGAAACUAUUUACUAAUAGUCUUCUACUGAAAAUUAAUAAAAUACCCCAUAAACAAAUAGCACAAGAACAAUUCAAAGAACUUAUCAAAUCCUUCUGAUAAAACAAAUAAUCAUGGUAAAUAAUCAAAAAAUAAGAGAAAUUACUGAAUCAAAGAGUUGAAAGAGUAAGAGCCGGCAAAAUGUUGUCAUAAUUUGUACGAUUCUUGUCAUUUUUUCUUGAAAUGUAAAAAUAGCAAAAGACUAGAAUUCUGUGUCUUUCAUUCAUCAUCGUACAAUGCAUAUAUACAACUAACAAGGAUCUGUAAAUUUCAAGUAAUAUUUACAAGGAUCUGUAAAAUUCAAGUAAAUAUUUACAAGGAUCUGUAUAUGGCAAGUGAAUAUUUACAAGGAUCCAGAAAUAUGGCAAGUGAAUAUUUAUAUACUCAUAAUGAAAAACUUAAGAAAUACCUAUGAGAGAGAGAAGAAAAGUGUAACAAAUAUUUUGUGUUAUUCAAUAGCUAUAAAUAGCCAUAUGAGAUCAAAUUUUCCAUAUAAUAGAAAUAAAAUUAAAACUAUAAAUUAAAUUUUUCAAAUUAGCACACAAAUUAACUUAAAUUAUGAAAUUUAAGAUAUUUAUUUUUUCAAAAUUUAACUUUUUCAUAUAAACAUCACUGAAUUGAUAUAAACAAUAUUUUGAAAUGUGAUAAAUUAAUUAAAUAACCCAAAAAUAUUGUAAUAUUGUAUUUNNNNNNNNNNNNNNNNNNNNNNNNNNNNNNNNNNNNNNNNNNNNNNNNNNNNNNNNNNNNNNNNNNNNNNNNNNNNNNNNACUUACCAUUUAAAAAUUGUUUCAUUUGAAUUAAUAAGAUCAUAGUAGAUUGUACAAAAUCAGUUAAUAAAUGAUAUAUAUUUCAAUUAAAUAAAUAAAGUACAAUAUAAUUGUAAUAAGAAUACACAAUCAACUAAUUAAUUUCACUUAAUUAGAUUAAAUUUUAUGAUCAUAAUAUAUAGACUAAAGUUCCUUAAAUUUAAUGUUGUAAAUUUCAAAAUAUAUUUAUGGCUNNNNNNNNNNNNNNNNNNNNNNNNNNNNNNNNNNNNNNNNNNNNNNNNNNNNNNNNNNNNNNNNNNNNNNNNNNNNNNNNNNNNNNNNNNNNNNNNNNNNNNNNNNNNNNNNNNNNNNNNNNNNNNNNNNNNNNNNNNNNNNNNNNNNNNNNNNNNNNNNNNNNNNNNNNNNNNNNNNNNNNNNNNNNNNNNNNNNNNNNNNNNNNNNNNNNNNNNNNNNNNNNNNNNNNNNNNNNNNNNNNNNNNNNNNNNNNNNNNNNNNNNNNNNNNNNNNNNNNNNNNNNNNNNNNNNNNNNNNNNNNNNNNNNNNNNNNNNNNNNNNNNNNNNNNNNNNNNNNNNNNNNNNNNNNNNNNNNNNNNNNNNNNNNNNNNNNNNNNNNNNNNNNNNNNNNNNNNNNNNNNNNNNNNNNNNNNNNNNNNNNNNNNNNNNNNNNNNNNNNNNNNNNNNNNNNNNNNNNNNNNNNNNNNNNNNNNNNNNNNNNNNNNNNNNNNNNNNNNNNNNNNNNNNNNNNNNNNNNNNNNNNNNNNNNNNNNNNNNNNNNNNNNNNNNNNNNNNNNNNNNNNNNNNNNNNNNNNNNNNNNNNNNNNNNNNNNNNNNNNNNNNNNNNNNNNNNNNNNNNNNNNNNNNNNNNNNNNNNNNNNNNNNNNNNNNNNNNNNNNNNNNNNNNNNNNNNNNNNNNNNNNNNNNNNNNNNNNNNNNNNNNNNNNNNNNNNNNNNNNNNNNNNNNNNNNNNNNNNNNNNNNNNNNNNNNNNNNNNNNNNNNNNNNNNNNNNNNNNNNNNNNNNNNNNNNNNNNNNNNNNNNNNNNNNNNNNNNNNNNNNNNNNNNNNNNNNNNNNNNNNNNNNNNNNNNNNNNNNNNNNNNNNNNNNNNNNNNNNNNNNNNNNNNNNNNNNNNNNNNNNNNNNNNNNNNNNNNNNNNNNNNNNNNNNNNNNNNNNNNNNNNNNNNNNNNNNNNNNNNNNNNNNNNNNNUAUUUAUUUACCAUAAAUCUGUCCUAAUUUUAUAUCUUGAUUGUAGUUAAUUAAUCUACAAUUACAUAAAGGUCUCAAAUAUGAAAACAAUUGAUAUUAAUUACCUUUAUAAUUUUGGCAAUUCAAUCCCAUGAAUUUCUCAUGUUUUUUAUAGAUUGAUUAUAUUAAAUUUAUUUCAAUUACCUUUUUAAUUUUGGUAAGAAUUUAAAAAAGGUAACGAUUAUUUUUUUUCCUAAUUACUGAUUUAUUUCUCAAAAAGUUCUUAUAAAUUCAUAAUUUGAUUAUAGUCAAUUGAUUAUUUAAUUAUCUUUAUAAUUUGCUAAAAGCUCAAAUAAGGUAACAAUUAUUUUUUUCUAAAUUAUGGAUUUUCUUAUAUUCAAUCUUUUAUUGUUUUACUAUAAUAGUUCAAAUUUAAUUGUUUUGAGGGAUGACAACUUUUUGUGUCUAAAUCUUUUUUAAUACAUAGGAAAUGCUAAAGGCAUACAAUAAUCUCCUUUCUUUUUAUAAUCCAAACUUACCAUUUACAAAUUAUUUCAUUUGAAUUAAUAAGAUCAUAGUAGCUUGUACAAAAUCAAUUAAUUAAUUAUAUGUAUUUUGAUAUAAAAAAAAAUGAUGUACGACAUAAUUGUAAUAAAAUUACACAAUCAACGAAUUAAUUUCAAUUAAUUAGAAUCAAUUUUAUAAUCAUAAUAUAUAGACUCAAGUUCCUUANNNNNNNNNNNNNNNNNNNNNNNNNNNNNNNNNNNNNNNNNNNNNNNNNNNNNNNNNNNNNNNNNNNNNNNNNNNNNNNNNNNNNNNNNNNNNNNNNNNNNNNNNNNNNNNNNNNNNNNNNNNNNNNNNNNNNNNNNNNNNNNNNNNNNNNNNNNNNNNNNNNNNNNNNNNNNNNNNNNNNNNNNNNNNNNNNNNNNNNNNNNNNNNNNNNNNNNNNNNNNNNNNNNNNNNNNNNNNNNNNNNNNNNNNNNNNNNNNNNNNNNNNNNNNNNNNNNNNNNNNNNNNNNNNNNNNNNNNNNNNNNNNNNNNNNNNNNNNNNNNNNNNNNNNNNNNNNNNNNNNNNNNNNNNNNNNNNNNNNNNNNNNNNNNNNNNNNNNNNNNNNNNNNNNNNNNNNNNNNNNNNNNNNNNCAUGAAUUUCACAUAUUCUUAUAGUUUGGUUAUAUCAAAUUUAUAUUAAUUACCUUUAUAAUUUUGGGAAGAAUUUUAAAAAGGUAACAAUUAGUUUUUUUUUCCAAUUACUGAUUUAUUUCUCAAAAAUUUCUUAUCAAUUUACAAUUUGAUCAUUUAAUUAUCUUUACAAUUAGCUAAAAGCUCAAAUAAGGUGACAAUUAUUUCUUUUCUUAGUUACGGAUUUUCUUAUAUUCAAUCUUUCAUUGUUUCACUAAAAUAGUUCAAAUUUAAUUGUUUUGAGGCAUGACAUCUUUUUGUCUAUAAAUCUUUUUUAAUACAUAAGAAAUGCUAAAGUCAUACAAUAAUCACCUUUAUUUUUAUAAUCCAAACUUAUCAUUUAAAAAUCAUUUCAUUUGAAUUAAUAAAAUCAUAGUAUAUUGCACAAAAUCAAUAAAUUAAUUAUAUGUAUUUUUAUUAAAUAAAUUAUAUACGAAAUUGUUGUGAUAAAACUAUACAAUCAAGUAAUUAAUUUCAAUUAAUUAGAAUCAAUUUUAUGAUCAUAAUAUAUAGACUCAAGUUCCUUAAAUUUAAUGUUGUAUGUAAAUUUUAAAAUAUAUUUAUAGCUAAAGUAAUAGUCAACGUUCGUUGUUUUUUUUACCAAUAUAUGCAUAUCAAUUACGAAUCUUUCCAUAUAUUUUAUUAUUAAAGUAGUUGUCAAUAUUAACUAAUUUCUAGUUCAAUUUAAUCUAAUUAAUUUGAUAGCAAUAAAAUUAUUAUUAAUAUUAUAUAUUUAUUUACCAUAAGUCUGUCCUAAUUUUGUAGCUUGAUUAUAUUUAAUUAAUCUACAAUUGUAUAAAGGGCUCAAAUAUGAAAAUAAUUGAUAUUAAUUACCUUCAUAAUUUUGGAAAUUCAAUCCCAUGAAUAUCUCAUUUUUUUAUAGAUUGAUUACAUUAAAUUGAUAUCAAUUACCUUUUCAAUUUUGGAAAGAAUUUUAAAAAGGUAACAAUUAUUUAUUUUCCUAAUUACUAAUUUAUUUUUCAAAUAUUUCUUAUAAAUUUAUAAUUUAAUUAUAGUCAAUUAAUUAUUAUUAUCUUUAUAAUUUGCUAAAAACUCAAAUAAGGUAACAAUUAUUUUUUUCCUAAUUACGGAUUUUCUUAUAUUCAUUCAUUUAUUUGUUUACAAAAAUAGGUCAAACUUAAUUAUUUUGAGGGAUGACACCUUUUUUUAAUAUUUUUUAUUCAAAAUGAUUGCAAUAUUUUCUAUAUAAAUUGAUCCGUUACUAUUUAUUAAUUGGUUAUUCUCUUAAAUAAUUUUUUCUUGUAAUAUUUCUUUUAAUCAAUUGUAAUGAAAUAAUUCAUAUUUAUUUUCUUAUAAUACUAUCAUUAAAAACAUAUGAAAUGUAAUUUAUUAAAUUCUUAGUUUUAGGCUAGACUAUCCUCCUUUAUUAUAUAGAUAGAUAAUUUCAACAAAAUUAAUUAGAGUAUUUUCUUAUAAAAAUAAUAUAAAAUUUUAUUUUAUAAAAAUAAUAUAAAAUAUGGUAUAUUAAUAAUAUUUGCAUUAAUUAUGUUUCUAUUUUCUUACAUAUUAUUUGAUUCUACGCAUUAAAAAUAACAUUGAAUCAAUGGUGAAAGUGGAGGGACUUCUUUCUUUAUUGGGGUUUUUCUUUUUGGGAAAGCUGACACUUUCUUGACUACCAACCACCCAACACAAAGCUGACACUUCUUGGUAGAUUGGCUAUUUUUUCAUACGGUACUAAUUUAUAUGCAUUUUCUUUGAUAUUUGUUAUAUUGUUAGUUUUAUUUUGCGUAUCGUAUUAGUUUAUAUGCAUUUAUUUUUUAUGUUUGGUAUGUUAUUAUGAUCCUAAGCUAGGAGUCUAUCGGAAACAUCCUCUCUACUUCACCUGAGUACUGAUAUGAUCUACAUAUACUAACCUCCCCAGACCCCACUAUCUGGAAAUACACUGAUUUUUGUUAUUGCUGUUGUUGUUUCUUAUACAGUAUUUGAUUCAAAGUAUUAAAAAUAACACGAAUUACAUAAUUUUUUUUUACAUAAUACCCCAACUUUAAGCAUGUUAAUGCAUGCAUUAGAUCCAUUGUAUUACUAAUGUCAUAAAUUUUGAAGUAUUAGUAAUACACGCCUCAAUACACAAUAGAGUAUAUUACUAAUUUUUGCAUUAGUUAUACAUAAGAUAAAAAGAUAUAUAUCAAACAAGGGACUACUAAUACACAUUAAAUUAAUGGAUGCAUUAAUUUUUACGUAAUACAUUCCAUGCUUUAUCACAGAUUUGAUUCCUUGUCUUAAGCUGGGAGUCUAUCGGAAAUAGCCUUUCUACUUCUUCGGAGGUAGUGAUAUGAACUACGUACAUCUUACCCUCUUUAGACCCCACUAUGUGGAAAUACACUGAAUUUAUUGUUGUUGUUGUUAUUAAUUUUUGAAUACACUCUAUCAAAAGACUCUAUGCUUCUCAUUUAAUUAUACCUUUAGCUCCUUUUUAAUUAUGAUAAUUGCUCUCUGACUCCACCUUGCUUUUUAAAAAUAUAAAUAAAUAGCAAUGAAUUUAAUUUUGCUCAUUACUCUACUAAUUGUAGUAAUGUUAGGUGAAUUCAUCAACUUAAAAUUAGAGUACAUUCACUCAAGCUACAUGUUAUAGAUAUAGUUCAAAAAAGGAAUUAUACGUUUGACAUAAUACAUAAAUGUGUUUUCAACUUGACAUCAUUAGCAAAUAUUUAUAUAUUUUAAUUUUGAAUGUUGCACAAAUAAAUACUUCGACUAUCAUAUAAAGUUAAAAUAAAUAUAUAUAUAUGUGAGUCUUGUAUCGCAAUUUGUCAUGCAAAAUGUGUGCAUCUCAUACAAUUUGUCAAGUAAUUAAAGCGUUUGUGUCUAGGGGAGUGCAUCGGUCGGUUCGGUUGGGUUUUACAUAUUAUCAUUAGAUUUAUCGAUUUUCGGUUUUUAAAUAUGCUAAACCAAUAACCAAACCAAUAAAAUAUUUUUUUUUGGUUCUUAGUCCUUAACGAUUUGGUUUUGGGUUUAACCGAUAAGAAAAUACUCAUAAAAUAGAAAUAGUAGUAACUAACAUGUAAAAAAUGAAUCUUAGUUGCAACAAAAAUCCUACAUGAAGUGUUUGAAUUUACAAAAAUCUUCAAGUUUGAACUAAAUGUUGUUAGGAGAAAUUCAGAGUUUAUAUAAUUGAAAUAACAGGUUUGUUAAUUUGUAGAAAUAAAAUAUAAAUAUAUAAUAAUUCAUAUUAUAUAUGUAUAUGCAUAUGUUUUGAAAAGGUGUUAAUUUGAGAGCAUGAAUUAUAUGGAAUCCCUCUCUUGAUGUGAAUUUGUUUUAAAUGUUCAUAUGAUGUAAAUUGUUUGAAAACAUCUUGAAAAGCAUGACAUGAAAUGUUUUGAGAAUUUAUAUGAUUUUGACUUGAAAACUAGAGGGCUAUUUGUGUUGAAACAUGUUGAAUACAAUGGUUGAAUGAGAAGAAUGAUGUGAUAUUGAUGGCUUGGAAGUCGGUUAUGAUGAUACCCUACAGAAUAUGAUUUGUGAUUAAAUCGGAUGAAAUUUGAAUGCAUUGAUUUUACAUGAGAUAGGUGGAUAUCCGAAGAAGGCAUUUGAGUAUAAGGGCUCAUCGCUAGAAAUCGUGUUUGCCGACAUGGGAAUUUGGUACCCUGCUUUGUGAUCUUGCGUACCUGACUUUAUGUCAUUCCCAAUUUGGGACUAUGGUUAGGAGCCCUGCUUUGUGAUCUUGUGCACUACCAUUGGGUCGAGAUAUCCUGUUGUGUGAUCUUGUGUGUCUUCCCCUCACUUAUACUCUAAUCUUGGCGGCAACCGAGGUUUGACAGUUGGUGUAAAUAUGAUAUGUAGGGUAUUCCACCUAGCUCAGCAGGAUUAUAUUGUUGUUGAAAACAAUUAUAUUAUGCCCAUGUGUUUUCAAAUGAUUUGAUAUGAAACUGCUUUAUAAUGGCUCUCAACUAUAUUUUGUAAAACUAUUAUGUUUUGUUUUGAUAUCUCUGCGUACCAGUACUUCUGAAUUGAACCCCUUUCCUCCCGGGUACAAAGGCACAGUCUAGGGGUCCAGAAAAUCAGUAGAUUCCUCAAACAGAUUUACAGAGUCACUUGGUGAGCCUUCUAUUUUUUGGAAGGCCUGAUAUUUGGAUCUACUGGAGGCCUUGUCCCAGUUUUCAAAUAGAUAUUUAUUUCAGUCAUGUAGUAGAGAUUUCACAAACGUUAUAGAGAUGUUGUGUUGAGAUUGUGGGACAUUAUUCCCCGUUAUUGAUUCAUAUGAUUCUUGACCAUGUUUCCAUAAUAUUGUUUGUCUUCCAUAUUUCUUUUAUCAUAUGAGUUAUGUGCAUGAUUAUCAGACAAAUAGGGGUGUUUCGGGCCUUUAUGGUUCGGAAUGCUCGUCACGGACAGGGCCCCAAUUUGGGUCGUGACAAACUUGGUAUCAGAGCAAGGUUCAUGGUCCCAGGGUGUCUACAAAAUCAUAUCGGGUAGAGUCUUAUUUAUGGGUGUGUAGCGUGCCACACUUAUAAGUAGGAGGCUCCUAAGCAUUUAGGAAUGUCUCUCUUUCUUCAUGUUCCAGUUCGUGCAAUAGAGUCAAAAUGUUCCUCUUUCAUACUGUCAUUCAUGCUAUGGUGUCGCUCAUAUGAAGGUAAAGUCAUACCAAAUUCUUUCCUUACUCUGAUGUUCUCAGACAUGUCCCAUUAUUGGGGUGAUUCAAGUGCAAAAAGUUUAGAAUCUACAUGAUAUAGUCUUUUUCGAUUGUGUCAUAUAAGAAAAAAAAUUGUGCAAAGACUCGAGAGGAGUCUGUUGGUGCUUCAAUAUGUGUUGAUUCUGAUAUAAACAUUGAUCCUGAUGGAAUCGUGCUUUCUAGCUUAUGGUAUUAAGUGCAUCUAGUCCCUCCCAAAAUUCUUGAUACAGAUGUGGACGGUGUAUAGCAGAAUGUUGGAACUAUAUUUCCACCCAAAUAGUAGCAUAAGUUAAAGUGUUGUUGUCAUGACCUAUUGGUAAUGAAAUUAGACCAAGAAUUUAGUGAUGUGAAGUCACAAAGUUAGAAGUCAGAGUGAGGGUGAUUUUUGGUGUAAAUGAAUAUUUCAGUUGAAUAACCAAUAUUUGAGGAUGAUUUACCCCUUUAUAGUGAUAAACUAACGUGGUAGCUAGUAGCACGUGUGGAUGGUAUGGUAGUCCAUGGGGAAGUAUUUUACUCAAAUUUUAAUUUAUAAAGAGUAAGAUGUGUAUUCUUAGACCAUUAAAUAUUGUGUCAAUUUCCUAUCUCUUGUAAUAUGUAAUCUUGUUAUCAUGGUAUUUUUGAAAUAAAUUUUAAAGUCUAGUGAAGCCGUGUGGGGCUCUUUCGAUUCACUAGCAUAGUUGCCUUGUCAUCCAUCUCAUUUUCUUGUUCAAAAUACCAAACCAAAGUCUAGUGAAGCCGUGUGAGGCCUAUUUCAAUUCACUAGCAACUUGUUGUCCAACUUGUUGUUCUUUUGUUGGUUUAAUAUAUGUAUGGCUGAAUCUGUUUGCAUGAGAUGGAGUUGGUAAAGAGGUGAUUCAUCCUUGUGAGUUAGUUUAGUAUAAGGUAGAGAAGGAGUUGUUAGUCAGGGUGAUUUGUUGGUUUCUUGAAUGUGAAAAAUGGCUAUAUUAGCGAGUAAGUUAUGAUCAUAGACUCAUGGUUGUUUGAGGAAUUUGAAGGCAGUCUAAAUGUAUGCUUGAGAAAGUAAGUAUGAGGUCAGAAAUCCGCAUAAGUAGAUAAGAUCUUAUGGGGUUAUAAUAUCAGUUAAGGUUGAUCAUGUCUAUUAUGUGACCUUACUCCUUGACUUUUUUCGUUGGUAGUUGUAAACUAGUACUACUUAUGAGAAGGUAUGUAGCAAAUUAUGAGGUAUUUGGAUAGUACUAUAUGACUGGCAGAGACUUUUCAAAGAUUUGCAGGAGUUCUCGAAACUAUUUUCUAAAAAAUUAAGAGUACUUUGAAAAAAAUCUAUAUAAAUCUUUUACUUAGUGAUUGCCUAGACAUCAAUUAGGAUGGGGAGUCAGGGGUGGAAGUCCCAACAUGAUGAAAUACCUAAAAGAUGGCAAGGGCAAAUCAAGGAUCGUAGGAGGUCAACACGGAGUAGUUUCUUUCAAACUAAUCAUUUUUUGUGGCUGCAGGGAUUGAUACACAAAAUGAGCGUUUCUUUCGAAAAAUCCCCAAGCAAGUCGGGAGCCAUGACAGAGCAUAUAAGGCUUAGUAACGGUACCUUUGGUAGCCCAAAAACCGGCUCAACACCCAUUUAUUGACGACCUUUCGAAUUGUCCAUCUCAUUUCUUGAGACCAUGGAGGACAAACAAAGUGUCUUGUCUUUUUUACAAAUAUUGUAUUUAGAAUUUUUCUAAAAAAAAAAAUAGUCGCUAGCAAAAGCGACUUUGUGUCUACUAAUCGUCUACCUUGAGUACGGGUACAUGCAGAAAGCAAGACCCUGACAAAUGAUUUCAGGAGAAACUAUUUUUAAUUUAUCGGAAGAACCAUUGCAUGUCAUUGCCAAGAGGGCCAUUACAUAUCAUCGUCAUUCAAUAUCUGUUGGCGUGCUAGACACAAUGCUAGCAUCGAGGAUAUCAUUAGCAUUCAAUAUAUCCAUUGACAUGCAAGACACAACACUGGCGUCGAGGAUAUCAUCAUCAUAUAAUAUCUAUUAACGCGCUAGACACAACGCAGGCAUUGAGGAUAUCAUCAACAUUCAAUAUAUCUGUUGACACGCAAGACACAAUGCUAGCGUCGAGAAUAUUAUCAUCAUUCAAUAUCUAUUGACGAUCUAGAUACAACGCUGGCGUCGAGGAUAUUAUCAGCAUUCAAUAUAUCUGUUGACACGCAAGACACAAUGCUGGCGUCGAAGAUAUCAUCAUCAUUCAAUAUAUGUUGACGCGCUAGACACAACGCUAGCGUCGAGGAUAUCAUCAUUAAUAUAUAACUAUUGACACGUAAGACACAACACUGGCAUUGAGGAUACCAUCAUGAUGCAAUAGCUGUUGACAUGCAAGACAUAACUCUGGCGUCGAGGCUAUCAUCAUCAUGCAAUAUUUGUUGACGCGGAAGACACAAUGCUAGUGUCGAGGAUAUCAUCAGCAUUCAAUAUAUCUGUUGACACGUAAGACACAACACUGGCAUCGAGGAUAUCAUCAUCAUUCAAUAUAUCUGUUGAUACGUAAGACACAACGUUGGCGUCGAGGAUAUCAUCAUCAUUUUAUUUCUGUUGACAUGCAAGACAUAAACACUAGCGUCGAGGAUAUCUUAUCAUUUUAUGAAUCAGCAUCCGAAUGCAUCAAGAGCACAUGAUUUGAAGGGACGCCUUUAAGUCGCUAUCUAAGGAUGAAUGAUAUAUAAGAUUUCCUAGAAAUUUACAAUUUGAGGGUCAUCUAUAAGUUAUAUUAUUUGAAAUAUGAUAGUGUACAAGAUCACCUAUGAGUUGAUAGCCGGUAGGUCAUCCGUAAGCCACAACAAAAUUCUAACCGGAUAGUGUGCAAGAUCGCCCAAAAAUUGAUAGUUCAAAGGUUAUCCAUAAGUCGCAACUAAAUCCUUACCAGAGAAUAUGCAAGAUUAUCAAAUGGAUACAUCCAAGGGUUCUCUAUAAGCCGUGUCAUAUCCAAGUUCGAUUAUAUGCAGGAUUACCCAAAGACUAACAAUUUGAGGGAUUAUCUAUAAGUCAUAUUAUAUCCUAGGUCGGAUGAUGUGCAGGAACACCUGAAAUCUAGCGAUUGGAGGGAUAUAUGUAAGCCAUCUCUUAUUUAAAGUCGGACAAUGUGCAGGAUUACCUAAAAGCUAGAAAUCAAAAGGAUAUCUGUAAGUCGCCUCGUAUCCAACAUCAAAUAAUGUGUAAGAUUAUCUAAAGAUUGAUAAUUUAAAGGAAAUUUAUAAAUCGAUCAUCGGCUAUAACUGGAGAGGUUAUCAUUCCACAUGCAACAAAUGAUAUAGGUACCCAAAGGGUUGCCACACCAGCACGCCAUUGUCCAAAAGGGCCACCCACUUUGAAGACAUAUUCAACCGACAAAUGUCAUAAUUAUACAACAACCAAGAGGGUUGUUGUGUUUGGUAUUGUCGGUUAUUUCAUUCCAAACAGGUACAUGAAGAGAUGACUCCACUUUUCAGGCCACAACUCACGUGGAGAUAUGGUAAAAGACUGCAUGCCUCUUUCGUGAAUUAUGUUUAGCACUAAAAAUUUUUGCUUGAAGCAUUGUCGAGGGCAUCCGUGAGGAUGAAAAUCUUAAAUCAAAACCACAGGUACGGAUGACUUCAAAUAGGAUGCAAUACCCGAAUCCAACCCGUUUUCUUUUUCCUCGUUAUGAUCACGCACGUUCCACAUGAAUCCAUACGAGAAGAUGCUAAGAAUAUUCUAGAAACACACUUAGGUGUCUCAUCCAACGUUCAAAUCUCAAAAUUCUCGCAUAGAGGUUUACGAAUUCGUACAUAGGUGGAGUAUUUUCAUUGGCUUGUGAAGAUUAUUCCCUUUCCACCAAUUUCUAUUGGCCACUUUUUGGAAUUCCGUUCAAGAAAAUCAAAAUAGAGGUAUAGUUUGUUAGGGUCCAGAUCUUUUUAAUUUAAAAAAUGAACCCUCAAUCCCCUUCUAUAAGUAGCUCUCUUUAGAGCAAGAAAAAGGGAUUUUUUAGGGGAUUUUGGAAUUUUUUUUCACUGGCAACUCCUUUCCUUUGUGGGUUUUCCUCUUCUUUCUCUUUGGAGUUUGAAAUUUUAGAAGCAAAAGGGGUUCAAAAGUUUUUAUUUGAAAAUUUGGGGUUAGAGAAAAUAUUCAAAAAUUCAGAAAUACACAAAAAAAAGAGGGUUAGAAAGGGGGGCUCUCAGAGGGAAAAAAUAUUCUCUUUACGCCCAAGAAACAUACAUUUUUAGGAGGUGCGUCUGAACUGUCGAAGCAGUUGUGAGUUUUUCGGUGGUUGGAAUCCUAUCGUCAGCUCGUUAUACCAUUUUGCUGCCCCGAAAGAGGUAAAUACACCUUUCUUUUUAAUUUUGUUGUGGUUAUCAUUUUCUUCUUCGUGGUUCCACUUCUGUUUGCUGGGAAUGACUGCUGUAGAGGCCUGAAAGGCAUAGGAUUUUCAUUUUUGAUAUAUUGUUCUACUAAAAAACUCAUUCUUGAUCAUGUUUGAUUGGUUGUCGUUCAUUCUUAAUCUCUCUCAUUUUAUUCUGUCUGAAUGUUACUAGUUAGCUUUAAUGCUUCAACUUUAGAAACUAUUUUACUGGUCUCAUAUUUGUUGUUGCUUUGUAGUUCAUAGAGUAGGAGAGUAACAUAUUUACGUAUUUUCGAAAUUCGAAAAAAUGUUCAAAGAAUAGAUAUUAGGCAGCCUGUUUGCAUAUCUUUUUCGCUCAGACGUAGGAAAUUGUUAUAAAUAAGAACUCCAAUGUUAUUUUCUACCGACUUGCCACUCUCGAUGUACGAUAGUCUCAUUUGAUUCUAAAGUUUAUUUUAAAAUAUGAGAGUGGACCAUAGGUCUGAAUUAUGUUUUCUUCAUGGCUAAUUCAAUUUGCUGUAAUUGACUCAUGAGAACAAAUUAAAGUUUGACGGGCUAAUGUUUCUUUCCUUUCUUGCUUUUCUUGUUCGGAUAUAAGCUGUGGCAUCUUGUCUUAUGAUUAAAUUACCUAAAAUUAGGUUUAUGUAGUGUUAGAAUCUCAUUUGUUUGUUAACCCAGUGGUAACGAAGGUAUUAAGAUUUCAGCCUUGCUUUUCUUGAAGUUUCAGCUAUCGUAUUCCUUGCCUAAAGUGAUUAAGUCUUUAAUUUUGUAUGUUUGGCAUUCUGGAAUUUGAAAGUUGCUUGUGAUCUAUCGUUUAUGUAGUAUGAUCUAGGAUUUGUAACUCUUUUUUGUGACAUGCUUAAUUGGGUCCUUUUGUGGCAUUAAAGUGAUAAAUUAUUUUCUUUAUUUUGCUAAAGACCAUAAGAAUUUCUUGUUGAAGCUUUAUUUCCUCCUGUAGUUGAAAUUUCUUUAAUUGAUUAUUAACAUUUUCUUCAAACAUAAUAGACUUUUUAUCCUAUGGCAUUUUUACCUGUGUAUGAGUGUAUUUGAAUGAAGAAGGAAUGCUAUAGCUUAUUAUAUGUUAAAAUCUUGGACGUAUGUUAAUUUCUUCAUUCCUUUCUUUACAUGUUCAUUCCUUUCUUUACAUGCACCCCCUUUGGAGUUCAAAUGGACCCCUUCUCUCUUUGCAUUUCAUAAAUGGGCCAAUGAGGCCUAUCCUUCUGAGUUAAACCCAAAAGAAAAUCCAAGAAUCCAUCACAUGGCGUAUGGAUACAAGGAAUCGAAAUAAGAAUGGGUUAAAGUUCAAUCUUUGAAGCGGCAAAGGGGACUUGAAAAUCUCGUUAUUUCUUAUUUAUUGAUUUAUUUAUCCAUUGUUUUCAUUAUUUAUUUAUUUAUUUACUUAUUUAUAUUUUUUUUUAUUUAGUGACUUAUUUAUUUAUUCAUUCGGGCCUCGAAGCCAAAGUUGUAAAUUUAAAACAGGUGGAGCGAGACUCGAGCUGAAAAGGGCUCAAAAACAUAAAAUUAAGACAGGUGAAAGAUGGGUCAAAAACCUAACUAGAUUAGGACAGGAUCGACUGUUUGGGCUUGAAAGCCUAAAUCACUACUUCCCCCCUUUCCCUUUUUUCUAUUUGCUUACUUGUUUUACGUGUGUUUUGCGAACCUAGUAAAAUCCUUAGUCAAGUCGCUAAAAAAAUUGGUUUUGCAUAAACACCAAAAUAUUCCUAAAAUUGCUUUUCUUUUCAAAAAAUACACUUUUUCAAAGUUAAUCAAAAGAUGAUUUUCAAACAGUCCGGAUAACCGCAAGUUAGCGGACAUUUUAGGUGCCUAAUACCUUCCUAAAACGUUAAUAGGAACCGCUUAUCUUGAAUCUCUAACUUAAAACGAUUUUUUUGUUUUGAAUCGUUUGCAGUAACUCUCUAAAGGUUUCUUAUUUCCUUUUCAAAAUUAAGUGGCGACUCUCAAAAAGUCAAAAUUUCCACAAAAAAAUAUCAACCACAAUCACAUCCACACAUCUACUACCCCCACCCGAAAGUAGUAGAAGAAUAAGGGUUUGUAGUAAUUCAAGUACCUUAUCCUCUUGACGCUUGCACUUCUUCUCUUUUAGUUCAUUAACAAAUUUGUUAAAUAUUUCAAGCAGCAAGCCCUCACCACCCAUUAUUCUGUAAAAUAAUAACAGCAAAGAAAUUCACAUUCAAUGUUACGGCAUAAUGAGAAUCAUGAGAUUAUGAAUAAAAAAGUAAAAAUCCAGAGCAUUUCAUUUUAUAGACAAAGAGGCUAGACAAAUUGAAACUAGAGAUUUAGCAGCAUACUUCAUCAGAACCGUGAAACAAUCACAAAUGCCAGCAAUUAAAAAACUAAAACAAUCACAAAUGUCAGAAAUUUAAAAAACUAACUGCUAGAGCUAUUAAACGCCCAGUGUUGGAACAACUAAUAAUUGACAUCAACCAAUUUCUAGAGGGAUAAGUUCAACAUUAAAAAUCACUUAGCAAAAUGGUAAUUCAUGCUAAUACUAUAAAGAAAUAGCCUACCUAAAUGUUGAGGAAUAUAAAACAACAAAUCAUUCAACACAGCUAUUAUUCUAAGGUACAUUCUAGAACUAUGUGAAUUGCUGAGUUUAGAAUAUUGAAGGAGUUGGUCCUUGAAAAUAAUAUCAAUUAUCAUUCUCCAAUAGUCCUUGCAAUCGUGUUACGAAUUCUAGAUCAAUAAAAGCAAAAGAAGCUACUUGCCUAUCUCUGAAGAGGGAUUUCCAGUCCUCCCAUUUCGACGAUGCAGUAAUUUCCUGCAACCAUAGCAAACAAAUAGAUUAUGGUUUAAAGGAAAUAUCAUGGGAUCCCAUCCAUUGCAAUGUGAGAGAUUGUGAACUGUUUUCUAUAUCUUUGAUGCAUGAAGGAGUUCAUAGAACUCAUCUGCUAGACGUUUACGCUUUUUAGCUUCUUUUUCUUCUUUCUCCCUGGCCCUUUCCAGUAACUCCUCAAAGACAAACUAUGCAGAUGAAAUAUGCACAUUCAAUACUCAAUGACUCGACAAGCCCAAACGCGUAGAACAUAAAGUUUAUAAAGGAAGUAUGGAAUAAGAUUCAGUAUAAUCCAUGUAUGUCCUCUUAUUCCUUCGUUUGAAAGGCAAGGGUGAUAUAAUGUAAGACUAUUAUUACCAUCUUUUGGAGUAACUCCUCGCAUUAUAAUAUUUGAUAAAAUGCUUUAAAAUAGUUUUGAGCUAUUGAAAGUAAACUAAAAGCCUUAAGAGACCCAACCGUCUAAGCAUAAUUCUUCGACAAGAUACCCCUUGCAAUUCCCUCUUCCCACAUACAUAGAUUAUACGCCAUGACCAUAAAUAAACUCCAAAAUUGAAAUGAUAUAUGAAGAAUAUCCUCAUUACAAAAAAAGAAAAUGAUCGUUGAUAUCAUCCAUUUAUGCUGUUUAACCACUUUCGCAGAGUAAAACUCUUAUCCACUAACCGUAAAAAUAGAAAACUACAACGCAAAUUGCUUUGAAUUAAGCAACUUAAGAUAUGUGCGGUAGGUGUAAUAUUAAACACCGCCAUCCAGGAAAUAAAAAGUAAGGAAAAUGGUACCAAAACUAAAGAAUUGGAAGAAAAAGAUAACACCAAAUAUUUGAUCAAUGUGGUCCUCGUCUUUAUUCUUGAAGGUUUCAGGCUUACUUGCUAACCGACACACUACUCUUCUAUUAACUCCAUUACUAGAAGAUCCAGAUUUAAUGUGGGAUAGGUUAUGGUUGAUACUAAAGGAAAAUUCCACUAACCACAGUUGACUACCUACGAUUUGCCAAUUUAGCAAUCACAAACUGACCGACUUCCAGUGAAACAUAACAUGGAAGUACUACUAAUGCUUUUGCACUCAAUCCACUCAUCUUAUGCAGGACCUGUCCCAAAGACAAAAAGGGGACAAAUACAUAAAAAUCCAUUUAACGAAUGGGGUACUUCAAUUUUCACAACAUUCAAUUCAACAUAGGUCGAUGUGAAACAGUAUACAGUGCUUAUCCAUAAUUAGACCUUUAAGUUGGUAUCUGACAUUGGUGGAGAGCUAAUAUACUUGGCGAUUGCAACCUUAAAAUCAUCAAGCAUCCAGGCUAAUGUCAAUCCAAUCUGAAAGUAGACAUGGCUCAGCCAAAAUAUUAGGUACUAACCAAAGCACAACAGAGGUUAAAAUGAAGAGUGGUGAUUACCUCGGCCAUCCUAACUGCAUCUUUAAUUUGUGACUUGUCAUCAAGAUACUGAAGCAACAUACAAGUAACACAAAUUCAGAAUGCUUAUCAGUAACAAAAAUAGGAUACCAAAUGGAGCUUUGUCCAUGCAUUUGAGUUACCAUAAAGUCUAUAAAUUACAAGCAGGGUGAUGGGGAUGAAAUUUCUUUCAUGAAUACCAACAUUUCUCCACUUGUUCAAAGUCAUCUACAAUNNNNNNNNNNNNNNNNNNNNNNNNNNNNNNNNNNNNNNNNNNNNNNNNNNNNNNNNNNNNNNNNNNNNNNNNNAAAAAUGGAUAGCAUCUCUGUUAACAGCGCUUUCAUUAUAUUUACUUAAUAAGAAUCAUUUAUGCACACAAACAGUAAUACAAACUUUAAAGAUAGAAGUUGACAUCAUUAUCUGACAAGGGAAAAAGAAAAAAUAUUCAGCAUCUGAGUUUAUGUAUAACUCUCAACAUCCCAUAGCAAGAGCCUAACUCAAGAAAACAUUUCCAAAUCCAAUCAUUGAAUAAGAGUACGAACAGGAUCAUUAUCAUGCUAGGAUACCAGGUAAACUCCCUCUUUCAUCAAGCAAGGAGAUAAAUGCUAAUAAAAUUUGAUCAUUCAACUUCAAUUCUUUUCAGAAAGGGCAGAGGAUGAAACAAUAUAUCGUUUAGUUAGUCGCAAUGGUGUAUUACGGCCAAAAAAAUCAUAGUGAGGGAGAUGCAACUUUAUUUAGAGAAACAGAGAUGCUCUCAGGCACUUUUUCCGAGGCUAAUCUUUUCUAAGCCUUUACUUUCAUUACAUCUCAACUACCUCUUCAGAGGCGAAUUCUGGCACUAAGUUUUUUUAGUCUAAGCUAUAUGGUUGACAACACAAUAUAUUUUGAAUUGGGUUUUAAGUUGCAUGAUAUCAUCCGAAGUGAAAUCAAAACUGGGGUGUGGUACAAAUGGACAAAACAUGGCCAAAACUUGACCAGACAAACUACUUUCAGGUCUCAUUUGUUUGCACUUAUUGGAUUUAUGAACCUGUUCAGACCUCAAACCAUUAAGUGCAUUUGUUUUUAUUAGGAUUUUAGCUCUUAAUAGGUCUGAGUAGGUCUUAAUCAUUCAUAUGUGGAACCAAGUCUAAAUAUCAUUUACAGAUAUUCUUGUGUAGGAUAAAAUUCACCACCACUUUAUCCACAAUCACCUGGCACCACCACCAACCACUUCCACCAUCACAACCAACAUCACUACCAACUACACUACCAGCCGCUACCACACCUACCACUUCCAUUAUUCUAAUUAUAUCCACCUCCAACUAGGGGUGUUCAAGGUUUGGUUUUUAACACAACUUAACCGCGAUACAAACAAAACCGAUUAAAAAAAACUAUAUUUGGUUAGGUUUGGUUUGGAUUUGAAUUUUAAAAGACCGAUACUAAUUUGAUUUGGUUUGGUUUGGUCUUACUCUAAAAUAACCAACAAAAUAACCAAAACGAACCAAUAUACAUAUAUAUUAUAAUUAUUUAUAUGUUUUUCAUAAAUGUAAUCUAAAUAUUUGUUACAUUUUAUAUUUUAAUCAUGAUUUAACUUUAGUCGUAACACAUUCAGUCAUGUGUCUUCAUCUAGUUGACAAUACAUUAUGAGAUUCUAAAUGAAUUUCAUAUUUUGAAUGACAAAUGAUACUAAUUGUGAAAGUAAUAUCUUGUUAUAUAUUGAAAUUUACAGCUGAAAUUUAUUAGACUAUACACAAUCACUAAUUUUAACUUUCUUUUGAACCUUGUUGAGCAAGAAGUUUAUGUGUUCACCUUUUGGGGGUUUAUCAUAUCAUUCUAUUAAAUAUAGUUUUAAAAUAUUUUUUAAAAGCGUUCAUAUGGUGUUAUCAUGGCUUUGCCGAAGUAUAACACUCAGUUGACAUCAUAGUUUCAAGAUUGAGAUACAACACUUGGUUGACAUCUCAUAUGUUAGAUUUGAUUUGUUUUUUAAAAAUUUCAACAUAUAUCAUUAACUAAAGUUAUAAACUAAAAAACCCGAAUCAAACCAAACUAAACCGACAAGAACCAAACCGAUGGUUAUUUUUUUGUUUGGUUUGGUUUGGUUUUAGAAAUUUAAAAACCAAUUAAUUUGGUUUGGUUAUGGUUUUGACCACUAACCGACCCAUAUUGACCCAUGAACACCCCUACCGCCAACGUCGCCACCAUCAACUGCUACCAGUUGAUCCCUGCUACCGACCAACUCAUCUAUCAGAACUACCACUACCACUAAUAACCACCUACACAUCAUCAACUUCCACACAUCACUAACAACCACUAACACAUCAUCAACUUCCACACAUUCUUCGGACACCAUCACCACCACUGUCACCGGCGUCACCACCUCUACCACCAGCAUCCGCUACACUCGCUACAGUAUCUGUACUAACAACCAUUCAACCAUCACAGCUAACAGUGUCUCCAACAACCACCAACACAUCGUCAACCAUCAUGCAUACAGUUUUUCAUCACCACGAUCAACACCUUCAACUACUAACAUUAACCAACUUCACAUCACAACCACCACCACCACUACCAAUCGCCAAUAUUAUGACAGUAACUACAAUUCCAACUAUCUCUACUAUCACAACUAUUAUCACCAACAUUGCUAAUCACUAACAUCAAUUAAUUUAUUACAACCACCACCACCAUUACAAACCAUCUCCACUAUCACUAAUAAACAUAAAUGUUUCCUUUUUUAAUCAAAUAAUAAUUUUAUUGCAUUAAAUUAAAAAAAUUUCUAAUAAAUAAUUAAAUUAUAUUUAGAAAUAAAUAAAUUUUGCAUAUUCAGAUAUUGAGAAACACCCAACCUUAAUCAUUUAGUUUUCAGAUCUAGAGACAAUAUCUUAACCAUUCAGAUGUGCAUUCAAAAUGAUUCAAAUGUCUAAAUAUUAAUAAAAACAAAUGCAGUCUUAGCUGAAACACAAUAGUGUGGUUGUGUGAUACUUUAAAGGAAUCCUCGAAAGUCAAAGAAACUACAUGAAAACAUGGAAGUUUGAUGAUCACUUCUCAGAGUUGUUCUGCUCGAGAAACUAUAACAAUUAAGGUAACAUAACCAUUAACAGCAUUCAACGGAGGAGAAGUCAAUUACAUAUGUCUGUGAAGUAGUAUUUAAUAUAGCUUGGCUAGAUUGAAAGAAUCAUCUAUAUCUAUACUACAUUAAAAGCAUGGAACCCCUAACUUAAAAGUUUACGACAAUAUGAUUCCUAUCAGCAUAAAUACGUACUAUCUAGUAAAAAAAAAGAGGAAACUAAUUGGCAUAAAGAGAAACAACACAGAUGUUUAAUAGGAACAACCGAUCAUUGUUCUUAUCUCAACAAAAUAUGUGUUAUUUAAAAAAAAAAAAAGCAAGCAGAGGGGUAACUCUCAAAUCUCAAUCUCAUGCUUUUAUCCUACCAAGUAUGUUCUAUUCUUUAAUGCACAACAACAACAACAACAACAACAACAAACCCAGUAUAUUCCCACAUAGUAAUGCACUAACUUACUUUUUUACCCAAUGAAUUGAACUUUUUAGUGAGGAUCUAAAUGAUUUUCAGACUUUGUUUAACAUCUGAUUCAUUAAGAUAUAUUAACAGGUUGAAUCUUUUUUUAAAAAAAGCACUUAAUAGGCUGAUAUCUGAACCAUUCAGAUCCAAACCUUCAUUAAGUGAAAGCAAAUGAAAAGGGAUUGUAGUGUAAAGUCUAUAAAUAUGGGUUAGUGUAACAAAUGUAGUUGACACAAUUCAAUACUCCUAUUAGCAACCUAUUUCACCUGUUUCUCCAGCUCAUCCAUAACAUCUGUAAAUAAGUAGUACCUGGAAAAUCUCCAAGCGAUUGAUUUUCUCAAGGCAGGAGCAUCUUUCAUCAGUUUCCAAGCGGUCCUGAACUUUCCACCACUGGCUACUAGCCUGAACAAAAGAAGUCAGCAACAAUGGAACUAUGGAAGUUCUAUCUUCUUGAAAUAGAAAAACAUAAUCUAGGAACUGAUGCUAAGACCACUAGAACAAAUACCUUAAUAAAGUCAAAGGAUUUUAAAAAUUCUAAGUACUCCACUCUAUUGCGCUUCUGCUCCUCCAAUGCCUUCGCAUGCUUCUGGUAAAAUCCAGUACAAAGUAAAAAAAAUAAAAUUUCUCUUUAAAGAAAACAAUAUGGACAAAGAGACUGUAACUACACUUUCAUGAAAGUAACGAAAAACUCUUCCUGUUUUACGAUGGAGAGGGGAGAGGAAGAAGCAUAUCAUAGUUUCAAGUUUCAAGAAAAAUUACAUACAAUACAUGGAAGUCUAUUUAUAUUAGAAUUCAAUGGUGAACAAAUUUAAAUCUUGUACCCUUGAGAAGCCAUUAAAAAUGUAUUCAAAGAACACAAGAUUUUAAGUUGAAUAUCUACAACAUUCCUUCUUUCUACUCUUUAAGCAAAACAAAAAAAGGGAACAAACUAAAAGACAUCCUGCAAAGGAAAGGAAUGGAAUGACUGUUGUUAAUCAAGUGGACCAGUGCCAAACUCAACUUCAAAGUCUAGGUCAGGUGGUGAAGAAUGUCCAAGAUCAUAUAAGGAAACUACAGCACAUACACCUUACUAGUGUGGGAUUCUCAUACAUUAAUCGAACACCAAGACUAGACAUUUGUAGCAUCAGUUAACCUAGGUUGGCUAACAUCUAAUAGUCUAACAUCAAGAUAGAUCUGCCUCUAAUACCAUGUUUAAGAAAUUGGACCUUGUUUCUAUCUCAAAUGAAAGGCUAACUUAAUUUGUGAGGAGCCAAAGACCAUAUAAGGAAACUACAAUCCGCACACUUUGUUUUUAACAUAUAGAAGCUUACAAGAAAGUUCUGCAAAAGAAGCAUCAACUUUUUAUCUUAUUCCUCCACAUAAUCUUCAAAAAGGUCCCCACAGUCUUUAGCUCGCUCAACAGCUUUAAAAUGUUCAUCAUGUUCAAAUAUGGAGAUUGCCUUACUGAAUAAUCAAUAGCAAAUAGUUGGUGGAUCAAAUGGAACUUACAUAAGUAAUGGAUCAACUUCAAGGUACCAAAACACAUACAAACAAUGACCAAUAUUAGAAAACAAGCAACAGACAACUUAACAUUACAAGUGAAAGACAAACCUCCAUCUUGAUGAUGGUGACAGCUCCUUGCAAUCCUGUAAGAUUGAGAACAACGGACAUUGUUAUGAAAAAUACCACUUAUUCUUUUGAACAAGUCAAAUACCAGUCACUAACACAUCAUGAAUAUUAUGAUAAUAUCUUUUUAUUUUUGAAACUGGUAAUGUGAAUAUCAUGAUAUAUCAAAUAUAAGACACCCACAAAAGAAAAUUUCACUUACUUUUAAAAUUACCCUGAAAUCUUCCCGAGCUUUUUUCUGUUUAACACGCCUCUCUUCAGCUUCUAGUUUUCUCUUUUGGCUCAAAUACUGGAACAGACACACGACUUCAAAAUGAUCACUAUAGACCUUAGGUGUGUUUGGUAUGAAGGAAAAUGUUUUCCUAGAAAACAAGUUGGUUUCUUACUUGAUUUCUUAUGUUUAGUUGAUGAAAGGAAAAUAUUUUUUAGAAAAUUUUUUCUAGUGUUUGGUUGGUGAAUAAAAAAAUAUUUUUCAGAAAAUACAUUUGAGAGUUGUAUAAAAAUUUCAACUUAAGAGUGAGAUUGAAAGAGAGUUUUGGAAAAUGUUUUUCCUACUUUUGGAAGGGAAUUCAUUUUCCUUAAAUUUAAGAAAAAUAAGUUGAUUUGGAAAACAUUUUCCAAAAUAUUUAAGUCAACCAAACAUGAAACAAUUCAAUAUCAAACACAAUCUAUCUUUUUGCAAUAUGGUAUGCUGAAACAUUGAGGCAACAAUUAACCAUUCCAAUGCCGACUUGGAGAGAUACCUCAUUAAAAGCUUGCUUCUGCUCACAAAGGGAUUUUACAGCACCAUAUCUCCGGUCAUUAAUUACUGCUCUCAUGGCCUGACUAAUACAAUUCAUGUCAAAUGAUCUCCCUCAAUUGUUUGGUACGCACAAAACACUCAAGUAAUAAACCUGAUUCCACAUGCAAUCAGACCCAAUAUUUGCAGAUUCCAAAAGAGUUUUGAAUGUACUCUUUUCCUCCUAAAUAAAAUCAGAUACUUAAAAUAGAAAUAAGAGAAAUUUCGAGAACAUACAUUAAACGAGACAAAAAGCAAUAAUCAACUAUACCGCUUUGCUCUCAUAAACUAAUGGUCCCAGCUCGACUAUUUUCUCAUCUGAUGGAGUAGUACCUCCGAUUUCAGUUAUUACAACAUCUUUCUUGACAUUCUGCAUGUUAGGCACAACAUCAAUCACAAAGGACAAAAGCAAACCUCAUUGGAAUUUGUAGCAUAUUCUUCACCUGUUAGCAGUUGACUAACAACUACACUACAAAAUUGUUGGAUCAACAUCCAGCAUAACAGCUAUGAAAAGCUUUCUUGGUGUUUUAACCAGUAACCAGUAGUAAUUAACUAAUUGCAUAAGUAUUUCAGAAGGACAAAGUACCUCUCUAUUCUUCGAAGAAAAUCCAUCACCAUACACUACUGUAACUUGAGUUGUAGUAGUCUCAAAACUACAGAAAAAUUGAAUUCCAAAUAAGAAGCAACAUAAACCAGAGGCAAAUUUAUAACAUAUAAAUCUGAAAACAUGCACCGGUGGCGCGACAGAAUUUCCCAAGGUUACUGCUAUUCCAAUUUUCUCUGAAUUAGCAACAGCUGGCAAAGCAGGUUCUGAAGAAUUCUUCAUUUCAACUGUUCCAAUCAUCGGAGAAGAAACAUUACCAGAUAAACUUGAUGAUUCUAAAGCCACAAUAGUUGGUAAGUUAGCAGCUGGUGACACAGCAAUUGGGCUUGAUUUAGCAUCGUGUGCCGAGACUAAUAAACCAUCUGCACCCGGGGAUGAUGUUUUAACAACAGAAAUGGAUCCAAAAUCAGAAGCGUGCAAAUUCUCUCCAGGACUUGUAAAUUCUCUCCAGUAAGUUGAUGCGUCUGCCUUCUGUCCCAAUGAAAACUGAAUAAAAGUAGGUUAAGUCAAAAAAUAGAACAUAAACAGUACCCUGAGAGUAGAAAUCAAUAACUUCCAGCAGUACAAUACUGGAUGGAAGUGUUAGAAUAUGAAUGAUAUAAUGUCCCACAUAAAAAAGGACUAGCAUGUACUGUGUAGAAUAUAACUACAAGCAGGGUGGAAACAUUGCCAAGCUGCGGCUGAGCUACAACUAUCCAAGGGUGAUCAACUCAACAACAUUCGCUUGAUAAUCGUAUUUUGUAUAUAUAUAUAUAUAUAUAUAUAGGUCAAAUUCUGUCGUUUCUAAGUAUUUUUUAAUGAACACCCUCGCCACAAAAAACAAGACGGAGUGUGACAGUAAGGGUGUUCAAAUCUUGCAAUGAGGUUCUAAGUUCCAUACUCAACACAGCCCCCCCAUAAUUUUUUUUUUCAUUUGGACACGUUUGAAACUCAUAAACUACAGUUAUGCUUUUUUUGAUGAAUCAAUUUCUGAACAUGUGUUUUUUGUCCCAAUUAGCUCUUACAAAAGAGCUAGUAACUAGCAUGCCAGGUAUCAGAAUUUUGUUAAAAUAAACUUAAAGGUAAAUUUAUAAAGUGGUUGUUAUACUAGCUAUCUUGCAUGGGGCAGAGUGUUUGGCUGGUCAAGAGCUCGCAUGUUCGAAAGAUAAACGUAGAAGAAAUGAGGAUGUUGAGAUUGGUGUGUGGGCAUACUAGGAGAGAUAGAAUAAGGAACAAAGAUAUGCGAGAAAAAGUGGUAGUGCUCUCUGUGGUGGACAAUUAACAAGAAGACUAGAGGGUUGGGGAUAAAGAACCUAAAAAUUCAAAGUAAGGCUCUCGUGAUGUAAUGGUUUUGGAAAUAUGCAAACAAUAACCAGCUGCUAUGGAGGAAAGUGAUUGGGACUAAAUAUCCUGAAGAAGAUAGAUGGAUAAAUAAAGAAUUGACCACACCAUACGGGAUUAUCCUCUAGAGAUCUAUUAGACAAUAGUGGAAUGAAGUUAAAAGAAACUCAAAGGUUAAAGUGAUGGAUGGAAACAAGACUAGGUUCUGGAAGGAUAAUUGACAUGAGGAUGGGAAUAUGGAAGUUAUUUUUCCUGAUAUCUACAACUUGGUAUUGCUUCAAUAGAGGACUAUAGCAGAAUUAUGGACACCACAUGGGUGGAACUUCAAUUUCAGAAGGCAACUUAAUGAACGGGAGGUAAUGAGAGUAGUUGAAUUUUUUAAUACCAUGGACUUAUUCAAUGGACUGCAAACAGUGAAGGAUGUACUAUGGUGGAUGGGAAAUGAAAAAGGAAUGUUCAGUGUCAACAAAGCCUACAAGAUAAUGAACCAAAUAAAUCACCCAGAUCCAAGAUGGCCAUGGAAGAAAAUAUGGAAAAGUAGGAUACCUCACACAGUGUCGUGCUUUGUCUUUGUCUGGUUACUAACCAAGGAAGUAGUUCUUACACAAGAUAAUGUCAUGAAGAAAGGAAAAACCUUGUGCUCCAUAUGUUUCCUCUGUGGAGAAACUUAGUGAUGGUUAACCAUGUAUUUCUACAUUGUAAGUACACCCAACAACUUUGGAGAAUCGUCUCAAGACUAAAAGGCAUUUCCAGGACAAUGCCUAGGAAAGUAUCCAAGACUUUAAUAUGCUGGGAGAACCAGGUGUACAUGCGAAGAACAGAGGUAGAUGGAGAAUUAUCCCUGGUGCUAUAUGGUGGGCUAUAUGGAAAGAAAGGAAUUCUAGAUGUUUUGAAAGCAUAGAGAAUAGUGUGCAGAAGGUUAAACUCAAUUGCAAUUUUGCUUUUAUGUUUUUAGUGUAAUCAACUAUACUCUAAUGAUAUUACCUCGAUAAUUGAUGUUCUAGACUAAAUUUAGAGAUAGAACAGUUGAUUUUGGAGUACUCUUGUAUAUAAAGGUUUCAGUACAACCCAUGUACUGUGUGAUAUAAUACAAAGUUGCCAAGUUCAAAAAAAAAGAUAAUAAUUUUUCAAGUACUAAAAGUUUAUAAAAUAACAAAUAAAGCAAUUAAAUCUGAGUUCAAAUUAGGUGGGUUGGGUUAUGACCCGAAUUUUAGAGCAUUUCAACCCAACUCGUUUCAGCCCAAGUAGCUUUAGGGCGGGUUAAUAACCCGCCCAUUUAUUAACUCAGACCUCUUUGAUCCGCCCAAAUCCAGCCAACCCCGCCCAUUCGACACCUUUAUUUUAAAAGAAGUAAAGUGGACCAUGCCAGAACACAUACCAGAUCUAUUGAGUUGAAGUAAAGUGGACUAUCAAAGGACACACAACAAUCUGUUGAGUUGUUGGAUUAGUGGGGAUUAAAAAGAGUGAGAAGAAACGGGGGAGAACAAUCCUUCCUUGUAUUUGGUGGACUGUAUGGAGCGAGAAAAUUUGAAGGUAUUUUGAAGAUAAAUAUAAUUCCAUUCAGAAAGUUAAAUGAAAUAACAUUGUAGAUUUUUGUUUAUUGUUUAAGGGCCAAUGUGUACAGGAUGCAUAACAGGUAGUAGAUCUCUUCGAAUCCUAGCAUUAUUUUCAUUAUUUUUCAUUUCUUUUGGACUGUUAGCAUAAUCUUAACGCUGACGAAUACAAAGUAAUAUCUCUGAAAAAAAACUGUUUAUCUGAAAAAAAAAAGGAAUAAAAAUGUUCAAACUUCCUUACAGCUCCAGUUGUUGGUCCCUUAAUACUUGUCCCUCACAACCAGCCAAACUUUCUUUGAUAACCGUCAUGUUUGGGCCAGCUUGCACCUUGACUAGUUACACCAGGUACUGCUACCUCCCACCAGCACAGAUACUAGGUAACUCUGUCCAUCAAGGCUUGGACAGACGGUAAGAAAUCACCUAGUGUUUUUAUCUCUGUUGGAAAUUAAACCUGAGACCUCAUGGUUCUCAAUCUACUUCAUUGAC